ACAGCAGCCGCCGCGGUAAUACGAGGGGAGCUAGCGUUGUUCGGAAUUACUGGGCGUAAAGCGCGCGUAGGCGGCUUUUUAAGUCAGAGGUGAAAGCCCGGGGCUCAACCCCGGAAUUGCCUUUGAAACUGGAAAGCUAGAAUCUUGGAGAGGUCAGUGGAAUUCCGAGUGUAGAGGUGAAAUUCGUAGAUAUUCGGAAGAACACCAGUGGCGAAGGCGACUGACUGGACAAGUAUUGACGCUGAGGUGCGAAAGCGUGGGGAGCAAACAGGAUUAGAUACCCCAGUAGUCCCUGUCUCUUAUAC
Molecule: ribosomal RNA, 305 nt
Filed under: uncultured bacterium
Lineage: Bacteria
Description: partial 16S ribosomal RNA
Rfam family: Bacterial small subunit ribosomal RNA
Source: RNAcentral